Magnolia sinica is the source of this 2295-nucleotide long non-coding RNA. RefSeq lists it as uncharacterized. The record is from RefSeq and is a predicted model, not a curated record. Lineage: Eukaryota; Viridiplantae; Streptophyta; Magnoliopsida; Magnoliales; Magnoliaceae. The transcript has 8 exons.
GGUCUAACGUCCUUGAGACUACAAGGCUUGAGCUCUCUUAAUCGUCUAAACAUCGACACGUGUCAAAGCUUAACGAGUUUGAUAGGGGGACUGCAACACCUCACUGCCUUACAAGACUUGCUCAUUUAUAAUUGUCCGGAGCUGGCAUAUUUACCAGAGGAUAUGCAACAUCUUACUUCCCUUCGAAUACUCAACAUCUGGAGCUGUGAGAAGUUGACAUGUUUGCCGGAAGGGCUACGACAUGUCACAACACUGGAAGCUCUAUCAAUCAAUGGAAUGACUCCGCCGGAGUGGAUAGGAAACCUGUCCUCGCUUCGACGUUUGGAGUUUAUAGGUUGUGAUAAAUUGACGUGUUUGCCAUCAGGGUUGCAACUCCUAACAAACCUGCAACACCUACAAAUCGGGGGUUGGCCAAGUCUAACGGCUCUGCCGGAGUGGAUUGGAAACCUCUCCUCGCUUCGAUAUUUGGAAAUUUGGAAUUGUGAUAAAUUGGAGUGUUUGCCAUCCGGGUUGCAACUCCUAACAAAUCUGGAACGUCUAACAAUCAUAAGCUGUCCCCAAUUAGAGAAGCGAUGCAAGAAGGAUAAAGGCAAGGAUUGGCACUACAUAUCACACAUCCCAUAUAUUGAAAUUGGAUAUCCCAAAUCUCGAUUCCGGAGAGAAGGCGAAUGGUGUGGACGUCUGCUGGAGUUGAAGAGGAAAUGCAUCAACGCUCUCCUUCCUACCUCUUCUUCCAAUUAACAUUUAAGCACCAUAAUUUAAUCAAGGAAUGAAAGUGGGACUCAAGCAAAUGAGAUGAAGAAGGGGCCUAGCAGCACAUGUGCUAUCCUUGUACAGUUGUAGGAGAACGUGCAAAGGGCAGCAUGGUGGUUGAACUAAAAAUCAGGCCGGCCUGCUUAUCAGGUUGCGACUUAACAAACUUUGAAUGUCUACAAAUCUCUGGCUGUCCCCAUUUAUAGAAGCGAUGCAAGAAGAAGAAAGGUGACGAUUGGCACAAGAUAGCACACAUCCCAGAUAUUCAGAUUGGAUAGCCAUCCAAUUAUAGCUUGAAUUUUUUUGAAGAAAGAACCGAGCUAUAAACUGGGCAUGCAGCUUAGGGGAGGGGAAAGGAGGAGAGAUCAGGAGGGACCCCUGAACUACUGUUGAUCUACAUGACAGUACAAAGAUGUGAGUGAGCUGCAUCAUUCUUCCAUGAAGCUUUCCUCUCCUCCCACUCAUAACAAUAAAGGCAAAAUGAACAAUGCAAAAGGUUCGGUCUGCUCCCAAAAUUCCUUUUUCCUUCAUGAUUAACUUCUUGGCCAGUCAUGUGUGAUGGAUGUAGGUUGGCCGUAGCACGCAUGCCAACUUAGGCUGAUGAUGAGCAAAAAAUAUGAUAUGAUGUUGGUGAGCCACAUCAGGCAUCCAUCUCUCUGUUCUAAUAUUAAAGGAAUGGGCCAAAAGAGGGAAGCAAUGAUUGUCCGAGGACAGCCAGCAUCCCCACAAUGGAGAAUGACCAUAGAAAGAUCUUUCCACAUUGAAGAAAGCUCUCUUGACUUGCAUUGGGAACCGGACACUUAGAAUGCCUUAGAUGAGAAGCAACAAUAGCUGGUGAAUGUCAACACCAAGGAUAGAAGCAUCUAUGAACAAGCUUAUUUGUACAUGAAAAGUUGAAUCUAUGGCAAUGCUGCCCACACCCAAUAGCUUUCUCACCUAUGGCCACAAGGAGGAGAGUACUACAUCUUGGAGGAACUAUCUCUCUGCAGAUUUAAACUCAUCGAACGUGACCUUUUUGUCCCUGUUGGCAUCCAUCCGAUUGAAAAAUCUCAUCAAGCUUCCCAAGUUCUGUUAUGUCUGCUGGAAGGCAGUCUUCUGGCAAGGCCUAUAUGGAUUUCAGUUAGAUGAUCUUUUCUACCACAUGCAAAGUAAAACUAUAGAUAAAUGCUAAGGCGAUUCGUGUGCAGGCAGACGGAAGAGGCAGAGAUUCAAGUCACAUAUGUGCGAGAUCCAAGCUGUUCAUUAGUAUAUAUUUUCUCAUUUUAUCAAAAAGGAAAAGAAAAAUAUUGCCAGAGAAUAUCUUGAGUUUUACUAAUUAACUCAGGAGAAUACUCGGAUCAUUAGCUUGUAAAAGUGGUGUCCAUGGCUUAGUUAUCCGAAAUGAUUUGUUUAUUGAGCCCCACCAUGGAAGGAUCCUUCAAGAUCUUGACUAGUUAUAGGGAAACUUCUUUUUUUUUCCCAUAUAGAAGUUUUUAGUAUCAACCAAUCCUCUAUCUACCCAUACUUCAUUAGUGUUCAGGGUUUCCUUUCAUUUUGAUUAUU